UGGGGAAUAUUGGGCAAUGGGCGAAAGCCUGACCCAGCAACGCCGCGUGAGGGAAGAAGGUCUUCGGAUUGUAAACCUCUGUCCUUGGGGAAGAAAAAAAUGACGGUACCCAGGGAGGAAGCCCCGGCUAACUACGUGCCAGCAGCCGCGGUAAUACGUAGGGGGCAAGCGUUGUCCGGAAUUACUGGGCGUAAAGGGUGCGUAGGCGGUUGUCUAAGUCAGAUGUGAAAUCCCCGGGCUUAACUCGGGUGGUGCAUUUGAAACUGGGUAACUAGAGUGCAGGAGAGGGAAGCGGAAUUCCUAGUGUAGCGGUGAAAUGCGUAGAUAUUAGGAGGAACACCAGUGGCGAAGGCGGCUUUCUGGACUGUAACUGACGCUGAGGCACGAAAGCGUGGGGAGCAAACAGG
This 407-nucleotide ribosomal RNA is filed under the name uncultured bacterium. RNAcentral describes it as "bacterial SSU rRNA". It matches the Rfam family "Bacterial small subunit ribosomal RNA", at positions 355 to 776 of the family's 1533-position model. The record is from RNAcentral.